CCUCCUGUGAAGGAGCCUGCUUCCAGCCAUGUGAAGAUGCCUGCUGCAGCCUUGCCUUCUGCCAUGAAUAAAAGCUCCCUGAGGCCUCCCUAGAAGAAGAUGCUGCCAUGCUUCCUGUACAGUCUGCAGAACCGUUUUUGUUUCCUGUACCCAUUCCUGGUCUGAAUUUUCUCCACAAGCGAUCCUGCUGCUUUCAUUCGGCAUUGAGCUAUGUGAUGAAAGAGGCCUUAUCUAGUCCUGCCUCAGGAACAAAACCAAGUUAAAAAAUAAUUUUCAACAGCCAUUGUAUGCAAGACACAGUCCUAAGAUGAGGACUGGAAGACGAGCAAAGGAUACAAUAAUUGGAGGCCACUCCUGUUCUCAAGUAGUUUAGAGCUAGUUGGAGAGACAGACAUAGGUGUAAUGUGAACUAAUAUUAUGUGAUGUCAACUUACUAACUCAAGAUGGCAAUAAAAUAGAAGUGAGAAUUCCACUACAUACCUAUUAGAAUGGUCAAAAUCCAGAAUGCUUACAUCACCAAAUGCUGAUGAGGAUGUGGAGCAAUCGGAACUCUCAUUCAUUGCUGGCGAGAAUGCGAAAUUGUAUAGCCGCUUUGGAAGACAGUUUGGCGAUUUCUUACAAAACUAAGCACACUCUUCCCAAAUGAUCCAGAAACUGCACUCCUUUGUAUUAAUUCAAAGGCGUUGAAAAUCGAUGACCAUACAAAAACCUGCACAUGGAUAUUUAUAGCAGCUUUUUUCGUAAUUGCCAAAACUUGAAUGCAACCAAGAUCUCCUUCAGUAGGUGAAUGGUUCAAUAAACUGUGGUACAUUCAAACAAUGGAAUAUUAUUUAGCACUAAAAGGAUAUGAACUAUCAAGCCAUGAAAAGGAAAACUUAAAUGCAUAUUACUAAAAAAAAAAAAAAAAUAAGGGAAAGUUGAAUGCAAUUACUAAGUUUAAAAAAAAGCCAAUCAUAAAAGGCUACAUACUCUAUGGUUCCAACAAUAUGACAUUCUGGAAAAGGCAAAACUAUGAAGAGGGAUGAAUAGGCAGAACACAGAGGAUCUUUGAGGUGGUGAAACAACUCUGCAUGACACCGUAAUGGUGGAUACAUGUAACUAUACGUUUGUCCAAACCCAUAGAAUCUACAAUUCCAAGAGUGAACUCUAAUGCUAACUACAGUCUUCGGGUGAUAAUAAUGUGUUGAUACAGGCUCACAAUUGUAGCAAAUGUACCACUCUGGUGUAGGAUGUUAAUAAUGGGGGAGGCUGUGAUGUGUGGAGGCAGGGGUCUUCUGGGAACAAUCUAUACCUUCUGCUCAGUUUUGCUGUGAAUCUAAAACUGCUCUAAAAAAAUAAAAUCUAUUUUUUUAAGUGAGAAGGAAGCAUAUGAAUGUUCAGAGAAGAUAAAGUCUACGUAGGCAAUAAAGGAGACAAUGGAAAAGGGGUCUUGAAGUACAGGUGGAAUUGGCCAGGCAAGAAGGAUAAAGAAGACUAUUAUAGCCCUGGAAAAGAGUAUAAACAAAGACAGUCAGUUAUGCUCUAAGUCUUGGUUUUGAAAACAUGAAUUUGUUUCAACCUGAUUCAUGUACUGGGGAGCAAUCUGAGUGCAAUACAGAUUUUGCAUUUGCUUGUGCAUGAUUUUUCCUUGAGAAACACCAGGUGAAUGGAGAAAACUCUACUCAGCUGAACCAAACAGGGCAGAAGUACACAAAAUGUACACAAGGACACCUCUCAAAUUUCUACCACCUAACCGAGUUUACAGGGUGUGUUAGAAACCCUCUUUCCACCACUUCAUAGGAACUCAUAAACUGCACCCCUUUCAACAACCAACUCCAUAUACAAAAUUAAUGUCCGUUUCAGGAUACUGUGCCAUAUUUAUUGUAGCAUGUAUCUAUUUCUUAACCAUUUAAUGUGUGAACUGUGCUACAAUUUUAUUAGAUUCCUAUCUUUUUUGUUGUUACAUUGACAAAACUUCUGAAUGUUGUAAUCUCUAACUAUUUUUCCCAUUAGCCCUAUAAUUCUUUUUUGUUUG
This 2014-nucleotide long non-coding RNA is filed under the name Papio anubis (olive baboon). RNAcentral describes it as "lncRNA (ENSPANG00000045001.1)". The record is from RNAcentral. Lineage: Eukaryota; Metazoa; Chordata; Mammalia; Primates; Cercopithecidae.